RNAcentral lists this ribosomal RNA (580 nucleotides) under uncultured Uronema sp. Its description in RNAcentral is "partial Bacterial large subunit ribosomal RNA". It matches the Rfam family "Bacterial large subunit ribosomal RNA", at positions 2349 to 2925 of the family's 2925-position model. Lineage: Eukaryota; Ciliophora; Oligohymenophorea; Philasterida; Uronematidae. The record is from RNAcentral.
GUGCAAGAGCAUAAGGGUGCUUGACUGCGAGACAGACACGUCGAGCAGGUACGAAAGUAGGUUCUAGUGAUCCGGUGGUUCUGUAUGGAAGGGCCAUCGCUCAACGGAUAAAAGGUACUCCGGGGAUAACAGGCUGAUACCGCCCAAGAGUUCAUAUCGACGGCGGUGUUUGGCACCUCGAUGUCGGCUCAUCACAUCCUGGGGCUGAAGUCGGUCCCAAGGGUAUGGCUGUUCGCCAUUUAAAGUGGUACGCGAGCUGGGUUUAGAACGUCGUGAGACAGUUCGGUCCCUAUCUGCCGUGGGCGUCGGAAGUUUGAGAAGAGCUGCUCCUAGUACGAGAGGACCGGAGUGGACGAACCUCUGGUGUUCCGGUUGUCACGCCAGUGGCAUUGCCGGGUAGCUAUGUUCGGACGGGAUAACCGCUGAAAGCAUCUAAGCGGGAAGCCCCCUUCAAGAUGAGACUUCCCUGAGGCCUUGCGCCUCCUGAAGGGCCCUUGAAGACUACAAGGUUGAUAGGCUGGGUGUGGAAGCACAGCAAUGUGUUGAGCUAACCAGUACUAAUUGCCCGUGAGGCUUGACC